ACGAACGCUGGCGGCGUGCUUAACCCAUGCAAGUCGCACGGAAAGGCCCUGCUUUUGUGGGGUGCUCGAGUGGCGAACGGGUGAGUAACACGUGAGUAACCUGCCCUUGACUUUGGGAUAACUUCAGGAAACUGGGGCUAAUACCGGAUAGGAGCUCCUGCUGCAUGGUGGGGGUUGGAAGGUUUCGGCGGUUGGGGAUGGACUCGCGGCUUAUCAGCUUGUUGGUGGGGUAGUGGCUUACCAAGGCUUUGACGGGUAGCCGGCCUGAGAGGGUGACCGGCCACAUUGGGACUGAGAUACGGCCCAGACUCCUACGGGAGGCAGCAGUGGGGAAUAUUGCACAAUGGGCGGAAGCCUGAUGCAGCAACGCCGCGUGCGGGAUGACGGCCUUCGGGUUGUAAACCGCUUUCGCCUGUGACGAAGCGUGAGUGACGGUAAUGGGUAAAGAAGCACCGGCUAACUACGUG
Molecule: ribosomal RNA, 467 nt
Filed under: uncultured bacterium
Lineage: Bacteria
Description: partial 16S ribosomal RNA
Rfam family: Bacterial small subunit ribosomal RNA
Source: RNAcentral